This 253-nucleotide ribosomal RNA is filed under the name uncultured bacterium. Its description in RNAcentral is "partial 16S ribosomal RNA". It matches the Rfam family "Bacterial small subunit ribosomal RNA", at positions 524 to 776 of the family's 1533-position model. The record is from RNAcentral.
UACGAAGGGGGCUAGCGUUGUUCGGAAUUACUGGGCGUAAAGCGCACGUAGGCGGAUAUUUAAGUCAGGGGUGAAAUCCCGGGGCUCAACCCCGGAACUGCCUUUGAUACUGGGUAUCUCGAGUCCGAGAGAGGUGAGUGGAAUUCCGAGUGUAGAGGUGAAAUUCGUAGAUAUUCGGAAGAACACCAGUGGCGAAGGCGACUCACUGGACAUGUAUUGACGCUGAGGUACGAAAGCGUGGGGAGCAAACAGG